RNAcentral lists this transfer RNA (68 nucleotides) under Panorpa communis. Its description in RNAcentral is "tRNA-Phe". It matches the Rfam family "tRNA". Rfam says of the family: Transfer RNA (tRNA) molecules are approximately 80 nucleotides in length. Their secondary structure includes four short double-helical elements and three loops (D, anti-codon, and T loops). Further hydrogen bonds mediate the characteristic L-shaped molecular structure. tRNAs have two regions of fundamental functional importance: the anti-codon, which is responsible for specific mRNA codon recognition, and the 3' end, to which the tRNAs corresponding amino acid is attached (by aminoacyl-tRNA synthetases). tRNAs cope with the degeneracy of the genetic code in two manners: having more than one tRNA (with a specific anti-codon) for a particular amino acid; and 'wobble' base-pairing, i.e. permitting non-standard base-pairing at the 3rd anti-codon position. Lineage: Eukaryota; Metazoa; Arthropoda; Insecta; Mecoptera; Panorpidae. The record is from RNAcentral.
AUUCAAAUAGCUUAUAUAUUAGAGCGUGACACUGAAGAUGUUAAAGAGAUUAUUAUAAUCUUUGAAUA